This 248-nucleotide unclassified non-coding RNA is filed under the name plant metagenome. Its description in RNAcentral is "partial contains small subunit ribosomal RNA and internal transcribed spacer 1". The stretch from base 1 to 46 matches the Rfam family "Eukaryotic small subunit ribosomal RNA", at positions 1786 to 1831 of the family's 1831-position model. The record is from RNAcentral.
AAGUCGUAACAAGGUUUCCGUAGGUGAACCUGCGGAAGGAUCAUUAUUGAAUUCCAACUGGGUGAGAUUGCUGCUGGCUCUCGGGCAUGUGCACAUCUCAUUCAUUUACCUCUCACCUCUGUGCACCUUUCACAGGACAGCCGGUGGUUGUAGGCUUCAUUGUCUAUGGCUACAGGUUGCUUUGUGUGCUUUAUAAACUCAUAAUCAAGUUCAGAAUGUCUAUUGUGUAUCCACACAUUUAAAUACAA